RNAcentral lists this long non-coding RNA (207 nucleotides) under Mytilus galloprovincialis (Mediterranean mussel). Lineage: Eukaryota; Metazoa; Mollusca; Bivalvia; Mytilida; Mytilidae. The record is from RNAcentral.
GUCAACUAUGGAUUUGACGGAAGCUUACGAGAAAAACAUGUAAAUUAAAAAUGGCAAAUGUUGGGUUUGAGAAUUUAAAGAAUUAAAAAGUUAUUUUCUAGCAGUUAUUCACGAAAAAACCUACGCAAAUUACAUAUUUAUAAAGAUAUUUGAGCUUUAUCUAACAGGGAGUAAAAAAGAACAGCCACACACACAGCAUACCCACCC